AUAUGGAAGUACGAUCUGCUUAUGUAUUACGGAAUGCUUAAUACAAGCUUCCAGUGGUGCAAUCGCUCACAAGAUGCAUUCGGCAGGCUAUGUUGGUAGUUGGCUAUAUAAUGAUUCCAGCAUACCCUGCCAAGUCUGUAUGCGACAAGUCGCUGUCCUUUGCUCAUGAAGAGGCGAAAAUGGCCAUUGCUGUGUUCCUUCACGAUAGGGCCUCCAGCAUACGUUGUUGUGUUUGUUGCUUGGUGACACAAAGGUUGGAAGGAACGUCGGCCGCUUGAAGGAGGAAUACGGAAUGGUUGACAUAAUUUU
Molecule: unclassified non-coding RNA, 309 nt
Filed under: Toxocara tanuki
Lineage: Eukaryota; Metazoa; Nematoda; Chromadorea; Rhabditida; Toxocaridae
Description: ITS-2
Source: RNAcentral